UGAUGCUAUAUAGACAAACAGAUGACU
This 27-nucleotide non-coding RNA is filed under the name Mus musculus (house mouse). Lineage: Eukaryota; Metazoa; Chordata; Mammalia; Rodentia; Muridae. The record is from RNAcentral.